RNAcentral lists this long non-coding RNA (974 nucleotides) under Homo sapiens (human). Its description in RNAcentral is "HSALNT0326509". Lineage: Eukaryota; Metazoa; Chordata; Mammalia; Primates; Hominidae. The record is from RNAcentral.
ACAGGAUGAGACCUUGUCUCACACACACACACAAAAAGAAAGGGCUGGAAUCUGAGUAGCUGAGGUGCUUAUGUGACUACAUGCCUACAUCACUGACCCCCAAUAAACACCUUGGACACAAGACUCAGAUAAAGAAACCUCAGAUCAAAUAUAAGCAUCAAAAUCUACAAAGAUUUUAGAGGGUGAAGAAACACGGAAAGAUCUCUGGUGAUGGAGCCAGCAUUGAUGAACCAAGAAAAGUCUUAAACGUGAAGAAGCCUGUGAUAAACAAGGUGACUCACCUCAUCAAAUGGAAUAGGGAUCUUCUGGCAAAGCUGCCUGGGUAAACCGCAACUCACAAGGGAUAGAAUUUCACUAAAUUCUUAAGAGGUUACAGACUCUAUUUCUAUCCUUAAAUACACUCAUUAUUUUAUCCCUGGAUAUACCCAAUUAUAGUUUAAACUUAAAUUGAAUAAAAGAUGAUGGGAAUAAUUCUAUUUUUAUUUCAGGACUGUGCCCAGGGGAAUAACAAGGAAGAAAAAUGUCAGAAGAAUUAGUUUCUCUCUAAUUGAACAAAUGUAUUUAUAUUUCCUUGUUGAUAGGCAUAGAUUCUCAAUGAGAAACUGAAACUUAUGAAGUUACAUUUAAGACUCCAGUUGUGACAAUGAUGACCAAUGCUCUUUGGUAUUACGUUUUCCAAUUCAACACAGGAAAUGAGUUGGAAUUUGUUUUGCAGUUUUUUUUUCAGCCUGUUUUGUGGAGUAUUUUUUCCUGUGAUCUGUAGAAACACAAUGAUAACAUUACGAACUUUGCCAGUCAUUGGCCCAUCAAAAAUGUUUGUAUGCUUGAAUGGGCAAGAAAUUACAUUUGAUGGAGUCCCAUGUGCCUCAUUAACUAAAUUUUUCUUUUCGGUUAUUAUUAAAGGACAGUAGGUGGCCAGGCACGAUGGCUCAUUCCUGUAAUCCCAGCAGUUCAGGAGGCCAAGGUGGGCAGAU